UUAAGAGCUGCAUGGAUUUGGAGUCUUAUCCUCACUAGAAGAGAGGAAUGCACCCAAUGGAAAAGAGGAGAGCAACCAAAGUCUAAGCUAAGAGCAUAGUUUCAUAUAUCCAAAACAUCAUUCACUGUUAAAUCCAGGAAACAUCCUUGGAUUUGGAAAUUAUGGAAGGAGAAAUUAUUAUUGGAACUGUACUGAACCUUUAGCUCAAUUAAGUUCAAAACAGAUACAAAGCUAUGAGCAUGUAUAUGCAGAGGUAGAUCAACCUGGAAGCUACUACAAUAGUCCAGGUGAGACAUCAAGAGGACAACUGAGGAAAUAAAGUGGACAUGGAGAAGAGGGAGAAGAUUCAACUAUUUAUACAGUUUGAUGAGGCAGGAUACCAUGCUGUGGAGACCCAUUUGGCAAGAAACUAAAGGCAGCCACCAUCCAAAUGCUAGGAAAAAGCUACAGCUUUCUGUCUGAUGGCAAAGGAGACACUGAAUCCAGUCAACAAUAACAGGAGUUUGAUGGAAGAUCCAUUCCCCAGUGGAGCCUCAGAUAACACCUCAAGUCUGGCCAACAUUCUGACUGUAAACUUAUGAGAGACCCUGAAGCAGAGAAUUCAGCUAAUCCAUGCCUGGGUUUCUGACUCUCAAAAAUUCUGAGA
This 646-nucleotide long non-coding RNA is filed under the name Homo sapiens (human). Its description in RNAcentral is "HSALNT0325260". Lineage: Eukaryota; Metazoa; Chordata; Mammalia; Primates; Hominidae. The record is from RNAcentral.